AACCCUUGUGGAGGAGGACGCCGAAGGUGGGGCUAAUGACUGGGGUGAAGUCGUAACAAGGUAGCCGUACCGGAAGGUGCGGCUGGAUCACCUCCUAACAGGGAGACAACAAAAUGUUUAAUAUUAUUAUUUUGUCACCUUAGGUCGAUCGGUAUCUCACGUUCUUAAUUUAUUAAGAAUUUCAUUUCCUAAGUUUUUCUAGGUCACACCCAUUAUUUUUCCUGGGCCAUUAGCUCAGGUGGUUAGAGCGCACCCCUGAUAAGGGUGAGGUCCCUGGUUCAAGUCCAGGAUGGCCCAUAUCUCUAUGUUGGGGGUAUAGCUCAGUUGGUAGAGCGCCUGCUUUGCAAGCAGGAUGUCAGCGGUUCGAGUCCGCUUACCUCCACUGAUUACCACCUCUUCCAUAAUUUGAAGAAAGGAAAUUUUUUGAGUCGUGAUCAAAUUCUGAACGAAUCUAGCUUCCUAAUGAAUCUAUUAAGAUGCUGGACUCAUUGAAUUAAUUUUCAUUGUUUUCAGAGAACCUUGACAACUGCAUAGAUUAUUUUUAAAGACAAUAAGCAUCUUUAAUGAUGCAGAUUUAUUAUUUGUGCGAAUGCAUUAAUAACAAUUCUAUUAAGCUGAUGCUUCAAUUUAAUGAAGUUAUUGGUCAAGCUACAAAGGGCUCACGGAGGAUACCUAGGCACACAGA
RNAcentral lists this unclassified non-coding RNA (685 nucleotides) under uncultured Prochlorococcus sp. RNAcentral describes it as "partial may contain 16S ribosomal RNA, 16S-23S ribosomal RNA intergenic spacer, and 23S ribosomal RNA". The stretch from base 1 to 98 matches the Rfam family "Bacterial small subunit ribosomal RNA", at positions 1437 to 1533 of the family's 1533-position model. Lineage: Bacteria; Bacillati; Cyanobacteriota; Cyanophyceae; Synechococcales; Prochlorococcaceae. The record is from RNAcentral.